RNAcentral lists this ribosomal RNA (406 nucleotides) under uncultured bacterium. RNAcentral describes it as "partial 16S ribosomal RNA". It matches the Rfam family "Bacterial small subunit ribosomal RNA", at positions 30 to 526 of the family's 1533-position model. The record is from RNAcentral.
AUUGAACGCCGGCGGUAGGCCUAACACAUCCAAGUUCAGCCAGCGGCGGACGGGUGAGUAAUGUCUGGGAAACUGCCUGAUGACGGGGGCUAACUACUGGACAGGGUAGAUAAUACCGCAUAGCAUCAGCCGUGCUCAGAUUGGGUUCGCUAGUAGGUGGGGUAAUAGCUCACCUAGGCGCCGCUCCGUAGCUGGUCUGAGAGGAUGACCAGCCACACUUUAAGUUGAGCACGGUCCAUGCUCCAACGGGAGGUGGCAGUGGUGAGUAUUGCACGUUGGGUGCAAUCCUGAGGGAGCCGGGACGCGUGUAUGAAGAAGGCCUUCGGGUUGUAAAGUACUUUCAGCGGGGAGGCGUUACCCGCAGAAGGAGCACGGGCUAACUCCGUGCCAGCAGCCGCGGUAAUAC